RNAcentral lists this long non-coding RNA (322 nucleotides) under Durio zibethinus. Its description in RNAcentral is "long non-coding RNA (DZIB_LNC001898)". Lineage: Eukaryota; Viridiplantae; Streptophyta; Magnoliopsida; Malvales; Malvaceae. The record is from RNAcentral.
AAUUUGCGUUGUAGCCAAUCCCAAUUUCCUCUUUCCAUUUCAAAAGAAAAAUAAAAUGUUUAGGACCCACAAAAUAGAGCGUGAUCUAAAAAAAUAAAAUGGGCGUGGACCUCGUACCAUCCAAAUUAUGAUGAGCUUUUUAUCUGUUAAAGAUUGAGAGAUGAUUUACAACACCUACCUCAACUAAGUCCUUCACCAACACUUUACAGCUUAUCAUCACCAGCCACCAACUUUCGCUGUUUGUUUGCUUUGUUUUAUUCGCUGUUAUCAAAUAUUAAUGGAUUCGUUGAUGUAUAAGUCGCUUAGAGAGAAGUGAUUUUAU